CUUUCAUGGAGAGUUUGAUCCUGGCUCAGGACGAACGCUGGCGGCGUGCCUAAUACAUGCAAGUCGAGCGAAUCUUUCGGAACUUGUUUCGAAAGAUUAGCGGCGGACGGGUGAGUAACACGUGGGCAACCUGCCUGUAAGACUGGGAUAACACCGGGAAACCGGUGCUAAUACCGGAUAAUCCUUUUCCUCUCAUGAGGAAAAGCUGAAAGUCGGUUUCGGCUGACACUUACAGAUGGGCCCGCGGCGCAUUAGCUAGUUGGUGAGGUAACGGCUCACCAAGGCGACGAUGCGUA
Molecule: ribosomal RNA, 296 nt
Filed under: Neobacillus bataviensis
Lineage: Bacteria; Bacillati; Bacillota; Bacilli; Caryophanales; Bacillaceae
Description: Bacillus bataviensis partial 16S ribosomal RNA
Rfam family: Bacterial small subunit ribosomal RNA
Source: RNAcentral